Molecule: long non-coding RNA, 762 nt
Organism: Cyprinus carpio (common carp)
Lineage: Eukaryota; Metazoa; Chordata; Actinopteri; Cypriniformes; Cyprinidae
Source: Ensembl
AAGUUUUGUAAUCUUUUGUUAUAUUUUCCCCAGGUUGCUAUUGACACACAUGCCUCUGUAAUUACUUGGCUCAAACUUGUCUCCUUGUUUAAAGAUGGGUGUAAUUAGGCCUUGAUUCCAGGUGUCUGGAAAAUAUCCUACACUCAAAACAAAGUUGAAUAAUUUGGUUAUUGCAGUUUUGAAUUUGUCAUUUGUGUAUUUGAUCAUUUUGUUUAAUAUUCCGUCAAUGCCACAUGCCUUGUUGGGUUUUAGUACAUGUAGUCUGUCUGUUAGCUCAUUUACUGUGAUUGGUAAAUGCAGGGGAUUCUGAUUGUCUUAAAUUUUUUCUUUCAGGAUUUCUAAUUUGGUUUUUAUUUCAUUUCGAGCAGGAUUUGUUUCAGUUGUUUUGUACAGAUUUUCAAAGUGCGUCCUCCAUAUGUUCUCAUUUUGACUGGCCAGUUCUUCCUUUCGUGGUCUAUAGAGAGUGUUCCAGUGUUUCCAAAAGUUUUUGACUACAAACUUUCCAGUGAUGCCUGUGAGAUAUUCACUCAACAAGCUUGCGCAUCUGUGCUGCCAUGUGCUCAAUCCACUCAGUGCGCUCUGCUUAUCAACUUGUGCAUAUCCGCUAUACAGGAAAGAAGAAUAUCUGUGAAGUGAGACAACAGAUGACAUGAGCAUGUCUCCCCUAUAUCCCCAUUGUAGUCAAAAGAUGUUCUUACCAAAACAGCUGUAGUUGUUAGUUCACAAGCAUGAGAAGUGAAUAAAUCUUCUAAGCUGAGGUCA